GGAAAGGAGUGAAUAAUUUUCAAAGAAGUGAAGGAUUUUUUUUUUUAAGUUCAUUUUGCAACUUGGAAUUUCUGCGGCCAUGAGGAAGUCUGUAAGUCCCAGAAAAGGAUGGCUAGAAGGCCUUGCUGUUAUUGGAUGUGCUGCUCUCCAAAAGAGAUGGGUUCUAGCAGGUGUUGGGAUCCUAAGAGGUCUUCUAGUCACCUCUCCAGCAACUCCACAGAAGCUGACCAUCUGGCUGCUGCUUUGCUAUUUGUGACUCCAUAAGAGAACUCCUUGGUCAAGUGAUGCCCAUCUCCAAUCUGGAUUCAGAAGAGGAGAGCACAACCCUGCCUCUUCCCAUUCUGUCUCCCAGCACCUAUAUGUUUCUCCAACUAAUAGCACUUCCCUGGGUGUUUAUCGAACUGUAUUGAAGGAAAC
This 417-nucleotide long non-coding RNA is filed under the name Rhinopithecus roxellana (golden snub-nosed monkey). Its description in RNAcentral is "lncRNA (ENSRROG00000046076.1)". The record is from RNAcentral. Lineage: Eukaryota; Metazoa; Chordata; Mammalia; Primates; Cercopithecidae.